Molecule: ribosomal RNA, 253 nt
Filed under: uncultured bacterium
Lineage: Bacteria
Description: partial 16S ribosomal RNA
Rfam family: Bacterial small subunit ribosomal RNA
Source: RNAcentral
UACGUAGGGGGCUAGCGUUGUCCGGAAUCAUUGGGCGUAAAGCGCGCGUAGGCGGUUUGUUGCGUCGGCUGUGAAAUCCCGAGGCUCAACCUCGGGUCUGCAGUCGAUACGAGCAAACUAGAGUGUUGCAGGGGAGACUGGAAUUCCUGGUGUAGCGGUGAAAUGCGCAGAUAUCAGGAGGAACACCGGUGGCGAAGGCGGGUCUCUGGGCAACAACUGACGCUGAGGAGCGAAAGCGUGGGGAGCGAACAGG